CCCCUCGGCGAAACAUCGAUCGAGGGAGGGAUCGCUCGUCGAUCCUUCCGAGAAACGAGAAUAACCUAGUCGACUACUUUCGACGACGGAUACCUCGGUUCCCACGCCGAUGAAGAGCGCGGCGAAACGCGAUAUGUCGUGCGAAUCGCAGAAUUCGGCGAAUCACGCAAUCCUCGAACGCAUCCGGCGCUCUCGGGUCUUCCCGGGAGCAUGCCCGUCUGAGCGUCGUUCCCAAAAAUCCCAACCCGACACGAUUAAAACCGUGGAAGGACGGGUGAUCGGGAGUCUGCGGAAACGCAGUCUCCUGGGAACGAGGCGCACCACUGGAAGCCCCAUCCGACGAUGAGGGAUCAGGUGCAAAGCUUCCGUCGAGAGCGCCUCCGGGUGCAACUCACAUCGGGAGUCGCAGCCCUGAACCAUUCAACUCGCGUCGACCUUGGGAUCAGCUUCCGGCUGGACAGACGCCGUCCGUGGUCCGUGAGACCAGGGUCGGAGGAGUAAAAUCCUCCCCUCUCUAACCACGACCUCAGAUCGGGCAAGAUUACCCGCUGAACUUAAGCAUAUU
RNAcentral lists this ribosomal RNA (565 nucleotides) under Vahlkampfia sp. LN-HB7-IR. Its description in RNAcentral is "eukaryotic LSU rRNA". The stretch from base 75 to 228 matches the Rfam family "5.8S ribosomal RNA". Lineage: Eukaryota; Heterolobosea; Eutetramitea; Acrasida; Vahlkampfiidae. The record is from RNAcentral.